Non-coding RNA from Pelobates cultripes (western spadefoot toad), 72 nucleotides. The record is from the annotation of a GenBank genome assembly. NCBI's taxonomy places the organism in Eukaryota, Metazoa, Chordata, Amphibia, Anura, Pelobatidae.
UGAGGGGUUACUCCAGCCACCAUGACCACUUCUGCUUUUAGAAGUGGUCAUGGUGGUAGGAGUGUAUAUAUA